UGACCUCGGAUCAGGUAGGAUACCCGCUGACUUAGCAUAUCAUAGCGAGAAAUCGAUCCCGCGCGCAUGCGCGAGCAUGCGACGUCGUCAUCGCUAUAGUGAGUCGAUACAUCACUGCGCGUCACGUGUGGGAAACACCGUGGCGAUAUCUCUCUCCCGCGCCUCUAUGGGGACGAAACAGCGGCGGCAGUCAAUUCGAUAGAGUAGAUCAAUACAAUUCUGGCUCUUUACGGGUGAGU
RNAcentral lists this ribosomal RNA (239 nucleotides) under uncultured Gyoerffyella. RNAcentral describes it as "partial 28S ribosomal RNA". Lineage: Eukaryota; Fungi; Ascomycota. The record is from RNAcentral.